Molecule: ribosomal RNA, 497 nt
Filed under: uncultured bacterium
Lineage: Bacteria
Description: partial 16S ribosomal RNA
Rfam family: Bacterial small subunit ribosomal RNA
Source: RNAcentral
GAUGAACGCUGGCGGCGUGCCUAAUACAUGCAAGUCGAGCGAACGGACGAGAAGCUUGCUUCUCUGAUGUUAGCGGCGGACGGGUGAGUAACACGUGGAUAACCUACCUAUAAGACUGGGAUAACUUCGGGAAACCGUAGCUAAUACCGGAUAAUAUUUUGAACCGCAUGGUUCAAAAGUGAAAGACGGUCUUGCUGUCACUUAUAGAUGGAUCCGCGCUGCAUUAGCUAGUUGGUAAGGUAACGGGUUACCAAGGCAACGAUGCAUAGCCGACCUGAGAGGCGGAUCGGCCACACUGGAACUGAGACACGGUCCAGACUCCUACGGGAGGCAGCAGUAGGGAAUCUUCCGCAAUGGGCGAGAGCCUGACGGAGCAGCGCCGCGUGAGUGAUGAAGGUCUUCGGAUCGUAAAACUCUGUUAUUAGGGAAGAACAUAUGUGUAAGUAACUGUGCACAUCGUGACGGUACCUAAUCAGAAAGCCACGGCUAACUACGUG